UACGUAGGGUGCAAGCGUUGUCCGGAAUCAUUGGGCGUAAAGCGCGCGUAGGUGGCUUCGUAAGUCCGUUGUGAAAGUCAAAGGCUCAACCUUUGAAAGCCGAUGGAUACUGCGGAGCUAGAGUCCGGAAGAGGCGAGUGGAAUUCCUGGUGUAGCGGUGGAAUGCGCAGAUAUCAGGAGGAACACCAAUAGCGAAGGCAGCUCGCUGGGACGGUACUGACGCUAAGGCGCGAAAGCGUGGGGAGCGAACAGG
This 253-nucleotide ribosomal RNA is filed under the name uncultured bacterium. RNAcentral's name for it is "partial 16S ribosomal RNA". It matches the Rfam family "Bacterial small subunit ribosomal RNA", at positions 524 to 776 of the family's 1533-position model. The record is from RNAcentral.